CUGGAGGCCAAACGAGUCGAUCCAAGGUCUGGAGCUCACCCUAGUAUCUUGUGCAAGUCCACACCAGCAGGCUGAUGGGUCAUCGACAGAAGGCUGAAGGCUCUGUGAUGAAAGGCUGAAGAGUCUAUGCCGGAAAGCUGAGGAGCCUACACUGCAAGCCAGGAGAUGACCUCCAAACCAAAAGUGAAGACUGAAGCUUCUCCCAAGAAUAGAAUGCAUUGGUAUUUCCUCCUUCCCUUUUAUACCUCCAGGUUAUUUUCAUUUUGGUGCCUGAAUAGUACUCUGUGGAGGAUGCUGAUUCUGACCUGCUGGUUCCUGGCCAGAUUGUCGUUCGAGAAAUUGGACAAGAGGAAUAGACCACAGCAAGAGCUGGUGUGAGCAGGCCAGGAUACAGCUCAGUGGCAUAAGCACCUGCCUGGCAAGCAUGAAGUCCUGAGUUCGAUCCCUGGUACCAAAAAAUAAAUAAAACUCAAUUAA
Molecule: long non-coding RNA, 477 nt
Organism: Cavia porcellus (domestic guinea pig)
Lineage: Eukaryota; Metazoa; Chordata; Mammalia; Rodentia; Caviidae
Exons: 3
Source: RefSeq, a predicted model, not a curated record